CAGCAGCCACGGGAACACGAAGGGGGCUAGCGUUGUUCGGAAUUACUGGGCGUAAAGCGCACGUAGGCGGAUAUUUAAGUCAGGGGUGAAAUCCCAGAGCUCAACUCUGGAACUGCCUUUGAUACUGGGUAUCUUGAGUAUGGAAGAGGUGAGUGGAAUUCCGAGUGUAGAGGUGAAAUUCGUAGAUAUUCGGAGGAACACCAGUGGCGAAGGCGGCUCACUGGUCCAUUACUGACGCUGAGGUGCGAAAGCGUGGGGAGCAAACAGGAUUAGAUACCCCUGUAGUCCCUGUCUCUUAUAC
This 301-nucleotide ribosomal RNA is filed under the name uncultured bacterium. RNAcentral describes it as "partial 16S ribosomal RNA". It matches the Rfam family "Bacterial small subunit ribosomal RNA", at positions 509 to 807 of the family's 1533-position model. The record is from RNAcentral.